UUUGUGAAUAAAAGAAACAAAUGC
This 24-nucleotide non-coding RNA is filed under the name Cricetulus griseus (Chinese hamster). The record is from RNAcentral. Lineage: Eukaryota; Metazoa; Chordata; Mammalia; Rodentia; Cricetidae.